This 299-nucleotide ribosomal RNA is filed under the name Clostridioides difficile. Its description in RNAcentral is "partial 23S ribosomal RNA". It matches the Rfam family "Bacterial large subunit ribosomal RNA", at positions 534 to 832 of the family's 2925-position model. The record is from RNAcentral. Lineage: Bacteria; Bacillati; Bacillota; Clostridia; Peptostreptococcales; Peptostreptococcaceae.
GGGAGUGAAAUAGAACCUGAAACCCUGCACUUACAAGCUGUGGAAGCACAUUUCUUGUGUGACCGCGUACUUUUUGUAGAACGGGCCAACGAGUUACGUUAAGUAGCAAGGUUAAGCACUUAAGGUGUGGAGCCGUAGCGAAAGCGAGUUUUAACUGAGCGUUCAGUUACUGGACGUAGACCCGAAACCGGGCGACCUACCCAUGAGCAGGAUGAAGCGAAAGUAAAAUUUCGUGGAGGUCCGAACCCACGAGCGUUGAAAAGCUCGGGGAUGACUUGUGGGUAGCGGUGAAAUUCCAA